AUGCCCUUUAAAUCUAGUCCUGUGAGGCUAGCAAGGGGGUUGCGGGAAGAGGGAGACACCUCUUUGUUAGCCUGGUGCGGCGAACAGAGAGGUUUUUUUAU
This is a non-coding RNA of Thermacetogenium phaeum DSM 12270, 101 nucleotides long. Lineage: Bacteria; Bacillati; Bacillota; Clostridia; Thermoanaerobacterales; Thermoanaerobacteraceae. The record is from Rfam.